GAAACAUUUUAGAAUGAAGUCCAUUGUUUAUCCAUGAGCUGCAAACACGAGAGAUAGCUACAGUGUGAGUUUCCCCACACCGUCCUGUUAAUGACCUCAACUCUGACCUUGGAAGUCCUCUUGAGAAAAAAGGGGAAAUUUAGUCCAGAUCAUUUAUGGCUGUUUCCU
RNAcentral lists this small RNA (168 nucleotides) under Calidris pygmaea (Spoon-billed sandpiper). RNAcentral's name for it is "TUC338 (ENSCPGG00000002538.1)". Lineage: Eukaryota; Metazoa; Chordata; Aves; Charadriiformes; Scolopacidae. The record is from RNAcentral.